GCGUGAUUGCAGAUUCCGUGAAUCAUCGAGUCUUUGAACGCACAUUGCGCCCCCUGGUAUUCCGGGGGGCAUGCCUGUCCGAGCGUCAUUGCUGCCCAUCAAGCACGGCUUGUGUGUUGGGUCGUCGUCCCCUCUCCGGGGGGGACGGGCCCCAAAGGCAGCGGCGGCACCGCGUCCGAUCCUCGAGCGUAUGGGGCUUUGUCACCCGCUCUGUAGGCCCGGCCGGCGCUUGCCGAACGCAAAUCAAUCUUUUCCAGGUUGACCUCGGAUCAGGUAGGGAUACCCGCUGAACUUAAGCAUAUCAAUAAGCGGAGGAU
RNAcentral lists this ribosomal RNA (317 nucleotides) under Fusarium solani. RNAcentral's name for it is "eukaryotic LSU rRNA". The stretch from base 1 to 88 matches the Rfam family "5.8S ribosomal RNA", at positions 65 to 154 of the family's 154-position model. The record is from RNAcentral. Lineage: Eukaryota; Fungi; Ascomycota; Sordariomycetes; Hypocreales; Nectriaceae.